Molecule: unclassified non-coding RNA, 187 nt
Filed under: Saitozyma paraflava
Lineage: Eukaryota; Fungi; Basidiomycota; Tremellomycetes; Tremellales; Trimorphomycetaceae
Description: partial internal transcribed spacer region
Rfam family: Eukaryotic small subunit ribosomal RNA (bases 1-46)
Source: RNAcentral
AAGUCGUAACAAGGUUUCCGUAGGUGAACCUGCGGAAGGAUCAUUAGUGAACGCCCUCACGGGCUUAACCAUCCAACCAACCUUUGUGAACCGUCGCCUUCGGGCGCUUUUAUAACAAACUAUAACAGUCAUGAACGUAGUAUACAAAAACUAAACACAACUUUCAACAACGGAUCUCUUGGCUCUC